Schistosoma mansoni is the source of this 47-nucleotide non-coding RNA. NCBI's taxonomy places the organism in Eukaryota, Metazoa, Platyhelminthes, Trematoda, Strigeidida, Schistosomatidae. The record is from Rfam.
AUCCAGCUGACGAGUCCCAAAUAGGAAGAAACGCGCACAUCCUGUAU